CCUACGGGUGGCAGCAGUGAGGAAUAUUGGACAAUGGUCGGAAGACUGAUCCAGCCAUGCCGCGUGCAGGAUGACGGCCUUAUGGGUUGUAAACUGCUUUUGUAAGGGAAGAAUAAGAGCUACGCGUAGUUUGAUGACGGUACCUUAUGAAUAAGCAUCGGCUAACUCCGUGCCAGCAGCCGCGGUAAUACGGAGGAUGCGGGCGUUAUCCGGAAUCAUUGGGUUUAAAGGGUCUGUAGGCGGGCUUGUAAGUCAGAGGUGAAAGCGCUUAGCUCAACUGAGCAACUGCCUUUGAAACUGUUGGUCUUGAAUGGUUGUGAAGUAGUUGGAAUGUGUAGUGUAGCGGUGAAAUGCUUAGAUAUUACACAGAACACCGAUAGCGAAGGCAUAUUACUAACAAUUAAUUGACGCUGAUGGACGAAAGCGUGGGGAGCGAACAGGAUUAGAUACCCUAGUAGUC
Molecule: ribosomal RNA, 460 nt
Filed under: uncultured Capnocytophaga sp.
Lineage: Bacteria; Pseudomonadati; Bacteroidota; Flavobacteriia; Flavobacteriales; Flavobacteriaceae
Description: bacterial SSU rRNA
Rfam family: Bacterial small subunit ribosomal RNA
Source: RNAcentral